GACGAACGCUGGCGGCGUGCUUAACACAUGCAAGUCGAGCGAGCGGCGGACGGGGGAGUAAUGUAUGGGAAACUGCCCGAUGGAGGGGGAGAACUACUGGAAACGGUAGCUAAUACCGCAUACCAUCGGAUGUGCCCAGAUGGGCUUAGCUAGUAGGUGUGGUAACGGUUCACCUAGGCGACGAUCCCUAUCUGGUCUGAGAGGAUGACCAGCCACACGGGAACUGUGAGACGGUCCAGAUCCCUACGGUGGGCAGCAGUGGGGAAUAUUGCACAAUGGGCGCAAGCCUGAUGCAGCCAUGCCGCGUGUAUGAAGAAGGCCUUCGGGUUGUAAAGUACUUUCAGCGAGGAGGCGUUACUCGCAGAAGAAGCACCGGCUAACUCCGUGCCAGCAGCCGCGGUAAUAC
Molecule: ribosomal RNA, 406 nt
Filed under: uncultured bacterium
Lineage: Bacteria
Description: partial 16S ribosomal RNA
Rfam family: Bacterial small subunit ribosomal RNA
Source: RNAcentral